RNAcentral lists this microRNA precursor (180 nucleotides) under Oryza nivara. RNAcentral's name for it is "MIR812 microRNA precursor family". It matches the Rfam family "MIR812 microRNA precursor family", at positions 1 to 180 of the family's 205-position model. Lineage: Eukaryota; Viridiplantae; Streptophyta; Magnoliopsida; Poales; Poaceae. The record is from Rfam by way of RNAcentral.
AAAAAGACAAACCCUAGUUUCCGUGUCCAACGUUUGACUGUCCGUCUUAUUUGAAAAAAUUAUGAAAAAAAUUAAAAAGACAAGUCACGCAUAAAAUAUUAAUCAUGUUUUAUCAUCUAACAACAAUAAAAAUACGAAUUAUAAAAAAAUUUCAUAUAAGACGGACAGUCAAAGUUGGAC